RNAcentral lists this ribosomal RNA (433 nucleotides) under uncultured bacterium. RNAcentral's name for it is "partial 16S ribosomal RNA". It matches the Rfam family "Bacterial small subunit ribosomal RNA", at positions 29 to 507 of the family's 1533-position model. The record is from RNAcentral.
AACGAACGCUGGCGGCAUGCCUAACACAUGCAAGUCGAACGAGACCUUCGGGUCUAGUGGCGCACGGGUGCGUAACGCGUGGGAACCUGCCCUUAGGUUCGGAAUAACUCCCCGAAAGGGGUGCUAAUACCGGAUAAUGUCUUCGGACCAAAGAUUUAUCGCCUUUGGAUGUGCCCGCGUUGGAUUAGCUAGUUGGUAGGGUAAAAGCCUACCAAGGCGACGAGCCAUAGCUGGUCUGAGAGGAUGAUCAGCCACACUGGGAAUGAGACACGGCCCAGACUCAAACGGGAGGCAGCAGUGGGGAAUAAUGGACAAUGGGAGAAAGCCUGAUCCAGCAAUGACGCGUGAGUGAUGAAGGCGUUAGGGUUGUAAAGCGCUUUUACCCGGGAUGAUAAUGACAGUACCGGGAGAAUAAGCGCCGGCUAACUCCGUG